Molecule: ribosomal RNA, 274 nt
Filed under: uncultured bacterium
Lineage: Bacteria
Description: partial 16S ribosomal RNA
Rfam family: Bacterial small subunit ribosomal RNA
Source: RNAcentral
AUACGGAGGGUGCAAGCGUUGUUCGGAAUUACUGGGCGUAAAGCGCGCGUAGGUGGUCUGUUAUGUCAGAUGUGAAAGUCCACGGCUCAACCGUGGAAGUGCAUUUGAAACUGGCAGACUUGAGUACUGGAGGGGGUAGUGGAAUUCCCGGUGUAGAGGUGAAAUUCGUAGACAUCGGGAGGAAUACCGGUGGCGAAGGCGACUACCUGGCCAGAUACUGACACUGAGGUGCGAAAGCGUGGGGAGCGAACAGGAUUAGAAACCCCGGUAGUCC